This 71-nucleotide transfer RNA is filed under the name Bos taurus (domestic cattle). It matches the Rfam family "tRNA". From Rfam's summary of the family: Transfer RNA (tRNA) molecules are approximately 80 nucleotides in length. Their secondary structure includes four short double-helical elements and three loops (D, anti-codon, and T loops). Further hydrogen bonds mediate the characteristic L-shaped molecular structure. tRNAs have two regions of fundamental functional importance: the anti-codon, which is responsible for specific mRNA codon recognition, and the 3' end, to which the tRNAs corresponding amino acid is attached (by aminoacyl-tRNA synthetases). tRNAs cope with the degeneracy of the genetic code in two manners: having more than one tRNA (with a specific anti-codon) for a particular amino acid; and 'wobble' base-pairing, i.e. permitting non-standard base-pairing at the 3rd anti-codon position. The record is from Rfam by way of RNAcentral. Lineage: Eukaryota; Metazoa; Chordata; Mammalia; Artiodactyla; Bovidae. RNAcentral also lists the same sequence under 1 other name.
UCCCUGGUGGCUUAGUGGUAUAGAAUCUGUCUGCCAAGCAGGAAACUCAAGUUUGAUCCCUGAUUUGGGAA